UACAGAGGUGGCAAGCGUUGUUCGGAAUUACUGGGCGUAAAGGGCGCGUAGGCGGUCCGAUAAGUCCCGUGUGAAAGCCCCCGGCUCAACUGGGGAACUGCACGGGAAACUGACGGACUUGAGUUCGGGAGAGGGAAGCGGAAUUCCGGGUGUAGCGGUGAAAUGCGUGGAUAUCCGGAGGAACACCGGUGGCGAAGGCGGCUUCCUGGACCGACACUGACGCUGAGGCGCGAAAGCUAGGGGAGCAAACGGG
RNAcentral lists this ribosomal RNA (253 nucleotides) under uncultured bacterium. Its description in RNAcentral is "partial 16S ribosomal RNA". It matches the Rfam family "Bacterial small subunit ribosomal RNA", at positions 524 to 776 of the family's 1533-position model. The record is from RNAcentral.